Molecule: long non-coding RNA, 1131 nt
Organism: Triticum dicoccoides
Lineage: Eukaryota; Viridiplantae; Streptophyta; Magnoliopsida; Poales; Poaceae
Exons: 4
Source: RefSeq, a predicted model, not a curated record
AAAAAAACCCAGAAAGAUAAGGAGAAGGCUCUGGAAAGAUUCCCCGCUUCUCCUCUUUCCCCGUCUCCUCUGCUCCAUGACCGCCGCCUUCCUCCGACUCCCUCGCCACAGUCGCCGCCGUCCUCCACAGGUAACUCGUUCCAGUUCUGUUGCCAUCCGCUCCUCCGACCUCCACCGCAAACCAUCGCUCACCUCCUCCACCGCCGCCUGAGUCAACCUGCAUCCGCUACCCCCGGUCGCCUUCGAUCUCCCCAACAUCCAUCACCGCUCUGACUCCACCACCGUCUGCGGCCGCAUCCCACCACCCUUGGCCCUACCCAGCAGGGCUGCCUUUUACGUGUUGCUUGCACCCCGUGCUCCCUCCUCCUCCAGAUCCGAGUCACUCCAAUCUACAUGCAUCAAGACGCCCCUAUUCUUCCGACAUGACAGCAGCUGAUCUGUUUUCUUGUGCUAUUUACUUUUAGGAACUCUCCGAGAAUUAAGGAACCCUCUGUUUUGCUUGGAACACUUGGCCUAGUUGUCUGCCCCUCCUCUUCUGUGCUUUACAGCUUCUCCAUAACCAUGGAGAAACCUGAAGAUCCAAGUGGAGAAAAGAAAGGUUGGCAAGCAAGCUUUCUUGAACCAAUGAUGAAAGAGUAUGUCGAUGCGGCAAAGUUUUGUGGUCAAAAUGGAUGGAGAAAGGAGUUGGGGCAUGACAAGCAAAACCUAUCUCAGUUAUUUACGAUGAGGGGAGUACAAAGAGGGCCUCUGUGUGAUUCUCCUUGACGCCUUCCCUGCUCUCCCUGCAUGGCUUCGCCUCGCUCCACAUCCAGGCCGACGCGAGAGGCAGCUCCGAUCCGUCAUCAAGGUUCCUCUCUCACCCUCUGUGUCGAGGGUUCAGUUCGUUCUGGUAGAGGAAAAAUGUAUAAGAAAGUAUAACUUCAAUACUCUGCAAUUGUUAUCUUCUUUGUAGUGUAGCCAGUCACAAUAUUGUCAUUUGUAGUGCACUUGUAGAGUUCAGGUCCAUGAUAUGCAGAACAUCUUUAGAUCAGUUUUCUCAUACUGGCACGUAACAGCAGGGAUGAAUGUAUUAAGCUCUCCACAAUUCAGUUCCUCUUUUAUUUUAAUAGCUCCACAUGUGUCGUCUGUCAA